Molecule: ribosomal RNA, 1375 nt
Filed under: metagenome
Description: bacterial LSU rRNA
Rfam family: Bacterial large subunit ribosomal RNA
Source: RNAcentral
CCUACGAGUGUUCUUUUAGAACACGAAGUGGUUGAUGCCAUGCUUCCAAGAAAAGCUUCUAAGCUUCAGGUAACCAGGAACCGUACCCCGAACCGACACAGGUGGUUGGGUAGAGAAUACCAAGGCGCUUGAGAGAACUCGGGUGAAGGAACUAGGCAAAAUGGCACCGUAACUUCGGGAGAAGGUGCGCCGGUGAGGGUGAAGCAUUUACUGCGUAAGCCCAUGCCGGUCGAAGAUACCAGGCCGCUGCGACUGUUUAUUAAAAACACAGCACUCUGCAAACACGAAAGUGGACGUAUAGGGUGUGACGCCUCCCCGGUGCCGGAAGGUUAAUUGAUGGGGUUAGCUAACGCGAAGCUCUUGAUCGAAGCCCCGUAAACGGCGGCCGUAACAAUAACGGUCCUAAGGUAGCGAAAUUCCUUGUCGGGUAAGUUCCGACCUGCACGAAUGGCGUAACGAUGGCGGCGCUGUCUCCACCCGAGACUCAGUGAAAUUGAAAUCGCUGUGAAGAUGCAGUGUAUCCGCGGCUAGACGGAAAGACCCCGUGAACCUUUACUAUAGCUUUGCACUGGACUUUGAAUUUGCUUGUGUAGGAUAGGUGGGAGGCUUUGAAGCGUGGACGCCAGUUCGCGUGGAGCCAACCUUGAAAUACCACCCUGGCAACUUUGAGGUUCUAACUCAGGUCCGUUAUCCGGAUCGAGGACAGUGUAUGGUGGGUAGUUUGACUGGGGCGGUCUCCUCCUAAAGAGUAACGGAGGAGUACGAAGGUGCGCUCAGACCGGUCGGAAAUCGGUCGUAGAGUAUAAAGGCAAAAGCGCGCUUGACUGCGAGACAGACACGACGAGCAGGUACGAAAGUAGGUCUUAGUGAUCCGGUGGUUCUGUAUGGAAGGGCCAUCGCUCAACGGAUAAAAGGUACUCCGGGGAUAACAGGCUGAUACCGCCCAAGAGUUCAUAUCGACGGCGGUGUUUGGCACCUCGAUGUCGGCUCAUCCUGGGGCUGAAGCCGGUCCCAGGGGUAUGGCUGUUCGCCAUUUAAAGUGGUACGCGAGCUGGGUUUAGAACGUCGUGAGACAGUUCGGUCCCUAUCUGCCGUGGACGUUUGAGAUUUGAGAGGGGCUGCUCCUAGUACGAGAGGACCGGAGUGGACGAACCUCUGGUGUUCCGGUUGUCACGCCAGUGGCAUUGCCGGGUAGCUAUGUUCGGAAUAGAUAACCGCUGAAAGCAUCUAAGCGGGAAACUAGCCUCAAGAUGAGAUCUCACUGGGACCUUGAGUCCCCUGAAGGGCCGUCGAAGACUACGACGUUGAUAGGUUGGGUGUGUAAGCGCUGUGAGGCGUUGAGCUAACCAAUACUAAUUGCCCGUGAGGCUUGACC